GCUUCGAUGGCCUAGUGGUUAGAGCGUUAGCACUAGAUGCGGGAGGUCGUGGGUUCGAUCCCCGGUCGAGUCG
Potamilus streckersoni is the source of this 73-nucleotide non-coding RNA. The record is from the annotation of a GenBank genome assembly. NCBI's taxonomy places the organism in Eukaryota, Metazoa, Mollusca, Bivalvia, Unionida, Unionidae.